This is a long non-coding RNA of Musa acuminata AAA Group (dessert banana), 529 nucleotides long. RefSeq lists it as uncharacterized. The transcript is spliced from 3 exons. Lineage: Eukaryota; Viridiplantae; Streptophyta; Magnoliopsida; Zingiberales; Musaceae. The record is from RefSeq and is a predicted model, not a curated record.
AACCGUCGUUUGCCUUUCUGUUCCGUCUGCCUAACCGUUCCGCUCGUUUCUCGUUCGCCCCACAGAGAGAGAGAGAGAGAGAGAGAGAGAGAGAGAGAGGCAGUGGGAAUGGCGGACGAGCAGCAACUGCGGCACGUGGAGAGCAUCGCCAAGAGGCCUCGCGUCGUCUCCCUCCUCGCCUCCGAGAUCCGUAACCUUGAAACCGAGUUGUCUGUGGUUAGAGCAGCGUAAGUGGCAGCGACUGCUUUCAACAGUUACAUCCCACUUGGAUCAUUCAGCUGAGAUCAAGACAACGAGAAGAAGAUCAAGGUGUCAAUGAAGAGAAAGGUGGAGACAAUUUUCAAGCCAAUGUAUGUGGACAUCAAAUUUCAUGAUAUUCAGGGAAAGAAUUAUUGAUGUGCCAUAGCAAAAUUAAAGAAGGAAAUAGUCCCUGAGAAAUGUAAGGUGGUAGUUAAGCCCACAAUAGUGAUAUCAUUACACUCUUGAAAGCUUCAACGGGAAACUGGCUGGAUGUUCACUUUAAGGAAGA